RNAcentral lists this long non-coding RNA (568 nucleotides) under Equus caballus (horse). RNAcentral's name for it is "lncRNA (ENSECAG00000050917.1)". The record is from RNAcentral. Lineage: Eukaryota; Metazoa; Chordata; Mammalia; Perissodactyla; Equidae.
GUCCGCCAGGUUUCUCCAAUGGUGUUAUUUUUCAUUUUGCAAAGGUGCUAUUUUUUGUUCUCCAAGUUCUGUUCUUUGGAAGUGAGUCACUAAGUCCAUGCCACACUUCAGAGGAAGGAAAUUAAGCCCCUCUUUCUGAAGGAGAAGGUAUCAACAUAUAAUAUUUGGAAUUCUUCUGUGGAAGCUAUGUAGAAUUCAUAUUCCCAGAAUGCCUUAUAGCUAGGAUAUGAAUGAUUAACCUGGCCUCAGCCAAUUAGAACAUCUGCCAGAGACUUAAGUUCAGAUGUAACCAUCGUGAAGAAGUGGCUGGGCAGGAGUAUCAACUCCGGGCAAAGGAUGUCUCUUCUGAAGCAACAGCGCCCAGGGCUAAGUCAUGUUUGCUCAGCAGGAGUGCUCAUAUUUCUCAAGAGAUGCCUCAGUGGGGUUGGGCAUUAUUCACAGCUGUGUAACCUCAAAAUCUGGCUUUCUGGCCCAAAUGAAUGUUCUGUGAGUUACUUGAAACCCUUUAAUAAAUUCUUUGCCUGCUUAAAAUAGCCACAGUGAAUUCUGUUUGCAACUUAGAACCCCC